UACAGAGGGGGCAAGCGUUGUUCGGAUUUACUGGGCGUAAAGGGCGCGUAGGCGGCAAUUCAAGUCAUCUGUGAAAUCUCCGGGCUUAACUCGGAACGGUCAGAUGAUACUGCUUUGCUAGAGUGCAGAAGGGGCAAUCGGAAUUCUCGGUGUAGCGGUGAAAUGCGUAGAUAUCGAGAGGAACACCAGAGGUGAAGACGGGUUGCUGGGCUGACACUGACGCUGAGGCGCGAAAGCCAGGGGAGCAAACGGG
This 253-nucleotide ribosomal RNA is filed under the name uncultured bacterium. RNAcentral's name for it is "partial 16S ribosomal RNA". It matches the Rfam family "Bacterial small subunit ribosomal RNA", at positions 524 to 776 of the family's 1533-position model. The record is from RNAcentral.